GUUAUUCUGCGUGACUAAUGAGUCGCAUUUGCUUGUAGUUGGACUUGGAGAAAGGAAUGAUGGACUGCUUAUAUGCAAAAUGCACCCCUUGUAUCACGGACUGUGUCAUGGCAGAGCUUGAAAAAUUAGGUUAGAAGUACCGGGUUGCUUUGAGGAUUGCCAAAGAUCCUCGGUUCGAAAGGCUACCUUGCACUCAUAAAGGAACCUAUGCAGAUGAUUGUAUUGUUGAGAGGGUUACUCAGGUAUGAUAAGACAUUUGGCUAUCGCCGCAUAUUUUAUUUGCAUGAUUAGAAUUUGAAUCUGGCAGUGCAUUCCUUUAGAAAAUUGGACUCCC
This is a long non-coding RNA of Magnolia sinica, 334 nucleotides long. RefSeq lists it as uncharacterized. The record is from RefSeq and is a predicted model, not a curated record. The transcript has 3 exons. Lineage: Eukaryota; Viridiplantae; Streptophyta; Magnoliopsida; Magnoliales; Magnoliaceae.